Daphnia pulicaria is the source of this 256-nucleotide long non-coding RNA. RefSeq lists it as uncharacterized. Lineage: Eukaryota; Metazoa; Arthropoda; Branchiopoda; Diplostraca; Daphniidae. The transcript is spliced from 2 exons. The record is from RefSeq and is a predicted model, not a curated record.
UGCUGUUGCUGUUGCUGUUGUCCAGGAGGAAGAACCAGAGGCUGUGGCAUCACCGGUCCAGACGAAACAACGUGGCAAACGUGGUGCAGCCCAGGCUGCUGAUUUUGUCACCGUAAUCUCUGGCCAGAAUCCGACGGAUCCUUCGCCUAAGGGUUCUCCCGUAGUGAAAGCGAAUAAUUUGAAAUUGGUGGAAGAGAAGCAAGCUCAAGCUGAAUCCGACGAAGAAGAAGUUACUGUACCUGUUGCUGCUACCAAG